GAUGAACGCUGGCGGCGUGCCUAAUACAUGCAAGUCGAGCGAAGCGGGGACGGGUGAGUAACACGUGGAUAACCUCCUAUAAGACUGGGAUAACUUCGGGAAACCGGAGCUAAACCGGAUAAUUAUAGAUGGAUACGCGCUGCAUUAGCUAGUUGGUAAGGUAACGGCUUACCAAGGCAACGAUGCAUAGCCUACCUGAGAGGGUGAGCUGCCACACUGGAACUGAGACACGGCCCAGACUCCUACGGGAGGCAGCAGUAGGGAAUCUUCCGCAAUGGGCGAAAGCCUGACGGAGCAACGCCGCGUGAGUGAUGAAGGUCUUAGGAUCGUAAAACUCUGUGAUUAGGGAAGCGUUACCUAAUCAGAAAGCCACGGCUAACUACGUGCCAGCAGCCGCGGUAAUAC
This 405-nucleotide ribosomal RNA is filed under the name uncultured bacterium. RNAcentral describes it as "partial 16S ribosomal RNA". It matches the Rfam family "Bacterial small subunit ribosomal RNA", at positions 28 to 526 of the family's 1533-position model. The record is from RNAcentral.